This 292-nucleotide ribosomal RNA is filed under the name uncultured bacterium. RNAcentral's name for it is "partial 16S ribosomal RNA". It matches the Rfam family "Bacterial small subunit ribosomal RNA", at positions 505 to 796 of the family's 1533-position model. The record is from RNAcentral.
GUGUCAGCCGCCGCGGUAAGACAGAGGAGCCAAGCGUUGUCCGGAUUGACUGGGCGUAAAGCGUCCGCAGGCGGCUGGGCACGUGGGGUGUGAAACCGCUCGGCUUAACCGAGCGCCGCCACCUCAUACGGCCCGGCUCGAGCGCGGGAGAGGUCUGUGGAAUUGCCGGUGUAGUGGUGAAAUGCGUAGAGAUCGGCAGGAACACCAAGGGCGAAAGCAGCAGACUGGCCCGUGGCUGACGCUCAGGGACGAAAGCGUGGGGAGCGAACUGGAUUAGAUACCCCCGUAGUCC